Small nucleolar RNA from Jaculus jaculus (lesser Egyptian jerboa), 238 nucleotides. The record is from Ensembl. Lineage: Eukaryota; Metazoa; Chordata; Mammalia; Rodentia; Dipodidae.
CCGGCUGAUGAGACUAAGGCGAAUGUGAAUCUUGGCUUUUGCAGGGGUGGAUCUGAAAUCUUGGUGGGGAUACCCGAGGCCUGGCUCCCCGCUGUAAGGCCAGAUCAACAGCACUGCUGACCUUGCCUUUGUGUCUGCUGCCAUGCCAGUGCUUGGCAGCAGCCUACAGGGAGGUCCACAUGGGACAACCAAAAUGGGGGUGGGCACAAGCCACAUGAGCACAACCCUGGAUCUGACC